RNAcentral lists this ribosomal RNA (520 nucleotides) under uncultured Glomeromycotina. RNAcentral describes it as "SSU rRNA". It matches the Rfam family "Eukaryotic small subunit ribosomal RNA", at positions 569 to 1092 of the family's 1831-position model. The record is from RNAcentral. Lineage: Eukaryota; Fungi; Glomeromycota.
AGCAGCCGCGGUAAUUCCAGCUCCAAUAGCGUAUAUUAAAGUUGUUGCAGUUAAAAAGCUCGUAGUUGAAUUUCGGGGUCAGUAGGUUGGUCGUGCCACUGGUAUGUACUGGCUUCACUGAUUCCUCCUUCUUGUAGAACCGUAAUGCCAUUAAUUUGGUGUUGAGAGGAAACAGGACUGUUACUUUGAAAAAUUAGAGUGUUUAAAGCAGGCUAACGCCUGAAUACAUUAGCAUGGAAUAAUGAAAUAGGACGUUCGACCCUAUUUUGUUGGUUUCUAGGAUUGACGUAAUGAUUAAUAGGGAUAGUUGGGGGCAUUAGUAUUCAAUUGUCAGAGGUGAAAUUCUUGGAUUUAUUGAAGACUAACUACUGCGAAAGCAUUUGCCAAGGAUGUUUUCAUUAAUCAAGAACGAAAGUUAGGGGAUCGAAGACGAUCAGAUACCGUCGUAGUCUUAACCAUAAACUAUGCCGACUAGGGAUCGGAUGAUGUUAAUUUUUAAUGACUCAUUCGGCGCCUUACG